GUCGGUGCCGUGCGGGGC
RNAcentral lists this microRNA (18 nucleotides) under Gallus gallus (chicken). Its description in RNAcentral is "gga-miR-7471-5p". Lineage: Eukaryota; Metazoa; Chordata; Aves; Galliformes; Phasianidae. The record is from miRBase by way of RNAcentral.